Octopus bimaculoides (California two-spot octopus) is the source of this 2535-nucleotide RNA transcript. RefSeq lists it as uncharacterized. NCBI's taxonomy places the organism in Eukaryota, Metazoa, Mollusca, Cephalopoda, Octopoda, Octopodidae. The record is from RefSeq and is a predicted model, not a curated record.
AACAUAAAACUAAUUAUUCAUUAUUAUUCUUAGAAAUUUUAUAGACCUAUUCGAGACAAUAGCAAUACAGGUCAAGUCAAAAAUAAAGCCAGAACAUUAGUUGCUCAACUUUACUAAAAGAUGAGUCUUCAUGAUGAAGAUGCUUCAUUUAGUUACAAAACUUACACUGAUCUCCACAAUUCAUUGACUCCUACAAAUGAAGGCCAUUCCUCAUUUGAAAAUAGCAUUCAGUCAGUACGUGAGAUGAUCCGUCAAAGAGAAAAGCUGAAUAAAAGUGUUAACACUUCAAGCACCAAGAAAAUAAUGCAGUCACCAACAGAUAACGAAUCUCCUGAAGAAUCUGUCACCGAUGUAAAAGAUAAAGUGAAAUCCAUGGUGCAACAAUUUGAAUCAAAGAUAUGUCAAAGUCUUUCAUCUAAAUUGAACGGCAUUGAUUUUACGAGUAAUUCAGAUUGUAAUAUUGGUCAUCAAUACAGUUUGUGUUUCACCACUCCUUUGUUUCAAAGCAAAGAGGAGACAAUGGCAAACUGUAGUCAAGAAUCAAUGACUUUUAAAACACCAAACAAUUUGGAAAAGUAUCCAGUGAAUACUUCCCAUAAUGAAUAUGAAUCACAGUUUGACACAAAGAAAUCCAUAGACUGGAAUGUGAGCAAUCCUGAUUUAGGAUUCUGUACAUUUACAAAAUAUGUCAAGCAAGAUAAUCCAACAGCUUCUACUCGCUAUAGUUUAAUAAAUCACCAAACAUUUAAUGAAUGGAUGCCGUUCAGCAAUCAAACAAAAGAUAUUACCAUGUCCACACCUGUACCUGGCCUUAUUAUUACAAACUCUAAUGUUAACACCACUAUUGUUCAGCUUUAUCCAGAAAAUUUGAAUUCAUCAGUUUCUGAAAUGAAAGAAAGCUUCCACAAACUCUUGGAGCACACUAGAACAGAAACUAAAAAUGAUGAAUGCAAUGGUAAUAAAACUGUACAUGAUGAAAUGGCCGACUCCUUCCAAUUAUUUCAACUUGAUAACCAAUUUAAUUGUGCUGUUUCUGAAACUUCUACGCAUAGAGAAUUUUCUGAUGCAAGUUAUAUAGUUCCUGUCAAGACUCAAGAACAACAUACCAACUUUAAUCAAUCUGCUACACAAACAGCUGAAAUACAAACCAAGAGUGAAGAGGAAAUCCUGAAGAGGUCUUCAGUUGAUAACCUAAUCACUGCAUUUUCAUAUGGUCAAGAUGCUGAUGCUAAGAGAGUUCCAACUCUUAGUGAUUAUUUUAGCCUCGAUGUUUCACCUAUAAGUCCAGAACAUAAUCCUUCAAAAAAUGUUCAUAAAAAUUGCAUUUCUUCAAAAUGGAUUGUUACAGAACUUAACUGUAUUUGCCCUGAAUUACAAAUAGAUUAUGAUCCUAAUGAAAAGUCUGCUAUAUUAAAACUGAUGAAGGCAUUUGAUGAUCUCAAAAGACUUGUGUCUUCUCUCAAGGAUGAUGGGAAAAAUACAGCAGAGCUUUUUGAGGAAAAUAAAACAGAAAUGAAGAUCAUUUGGAAGCAUAUGAAAGAAUUACAAGCUAAAUAUAGCAGACUUCAUUCCCAGUCCAUUAAAGAUAAUUUAAAACUUGUUGAGCUAAGUGACCGUGAUUCCCAAAUGGAACAGAUGAAAGCAAUUCUCAUUAAACGAAUAAAUCAUUUACAGGACAAUUCUCAUACUUCUGACAUGACACUUUUUCAAUUAGUGAAUACACUCUUAAAAGUAGAAUUACAGGCAACUGAAAAAAAGUUUCUAAAACAGAUUAAAGACAUUAAACAUAGGCAUUAUCUGCAAAAAAUGAACGGAAGCAUUAGAAAUGUACAUUAUAUGCACUAUCAAGACACACAAGAUAGUUUCAACAAAAGCUCUGAAAAUGAAAAACAAAGACAAAUUAAACAUCUUACAGAAGAAAUUAUGAAUCUGGAAGAUGUAAUUGAAACUAAAAAUUCUAAACUGAUGCAAAUAGUAAGGGAGAAAAGCCAACUUGAAGAUGAUUUAAAAAUGGCACAUCAGAAGAUUUAUCAAUUAGAGAAAAUAAACAAAUUAUCAAAGAUGAGUGUCAGUCAACAAAUGUAUAAACAAAACAAAUUCCAAAAGGAAACUGUGUUAUGGAAGGGAAACUGCUAUUGAUGAAAUAAAUGGUAGGAAUAAAUUGUUUUACUGGCAAUCUCUUUGAGAUAGAGAAGAUUUAUAACAGAAAUACAAUACUUGAAACUGAAAGUGAGAAAAAAAAAAAGAAUUGGCAGCCCCAGAAGAAUUAUCAUGAACACCUUUUUUCAAAUGUUUCCAGUGGGAUUCUUUUUUAAGACUCUUUAAAUAUUUUCUUCAUUAGACAAAGAAGAUAUUAAAAUUAACUGAAGAUUUAUGUUACAUGAUUUCAUGUAAAUUGCCCCAAGAUUUAAAACAAAAAAAAAAUUCAUACUUUGCAGUUCUUUCAUCUAAGACUCUUCCUCAUUGUUCACACCUUUCAUUUUUUAAAUAAAAUAGCGUAAACUUUAUUGUGAAGACCUGAAAUAAAAUAGAAAC